CAAUAGCGUAUAUUAAAGUUGUUGCGGUUAAAAAGCUCGUAGUUGGAUUUCUGCUGAGAACGACCGGUCCGCCCUCUGGGUGUGUAUCUGGCUCUUUCUUGGCAUCUUCUUGGUGAACGUUGCUGCACUUGACUGUGUGGAGCGCUACCCAGGACUUUUACUUUGAGGAAAUUAGAGUGUUUCAAGCAGGCAUACGCCUUGAAUACAUUAGCAUGGAAUAAUAAGAUAGGACCUCGGUUCUAUUUUGUUGGUUUCUAGAGCUGAGGUAAUGAUUAAUAGGGAUAGUUGGGGGCAUUCGUAUUUAACUGUCAGAGGUGAAAUUCUUAGAUUUGCUGAAGAUGAACAACUGCGAAAGCAUUUACCAAGGAUGUUUUCAUUAA
Molecule: ribosomal RNA, 380 nt
Filed under: uncultured eukaryote
Lineage: Eukaryota
Description: partial 18S ribosomal RNA
Rfam family: Eukaryotic small subunit ribosomal RNA
Source: RNAcentral